GGAUUUCACGGUGAACUGCUGCUAUUGGCAAAUGCAUCCGUGGUAGUGAAGCACCUAGGUUUAAAUAAUUUUUGGCACUGGAUGGCUAAGUCUUUGAAUUACCACAAGACAAGAUCACAGCAAAAAAUAACAUAGGAAAUAGUAAAGACUGGAUCAGUUUAUCACAUGUUACUCAGUUUCAUAUACUGAAGGCCAUAGCAGGAAACAGUUCCACUCAGAGCAAAGGACUUCAGAAGUGUGAGCAGGGUUAAGAAGUUCUGGGGUACCCAGCAACCAGCAACAGCAGGAAGGCACCACUAUACUCAGUCCUGAAGGGACAAGAGGAUGAAAAAGAGUUAUUGGAACCUCAGCCUUUAGAGGAGAGCCUGCUGGACAGAAGCCAUAGCUGUUCAGG
This is a long non-coding RNA of Tupaia belangeri chinensis (Chinese tree shrew), 394 nucleotides long. RefSeq lists it as uncharacterized. The transcript has 3 exons. NCBI's taxonomy places the organism in Eukaryota, Metazoa, Chordata, Mammalia, Scandentia, Tupaiidae. The record is from RefSeq and is a predicted model, not a curated record.